Molecule: transfer RNA, 68 nt
Filed under: Trichonephila clavata
Lineage: Eukaryota; Metazoa; Arthropoda; Arachnida; Araneae; Nephilidae
Description: tRNA-Ala
Source: RNAcentral
GCCAGUAUGGUGGAUAUGACCUUCGGCUUGCAACCGAAUGGGCUCGGGUUCGAAUCCCUAAUAAGGCU